Molecule: ribosomal RNA, 382 nt
Filed under: uncultured bacterium
Lineage: Bacteria
Description: bacterial SSU rRNA
Rfam family: Bacterial small subunit ribosomal RNA
Source: RNAcentral
GACGAACGCUGGCGGCGUGCUUAACACAUGCAAGUCGAGCGGUAAGGCCCUUUCGGGGGUACACGAGCGGCGAACGGGUGAGUAACACGUGGGUGACCUGCCCUCAGCUCUGGGAUAAGCCUGGGAAACCGGGUCUAAUACUGGAUAUGACUCCAUGACGCAUGUUGUGGGGUGGAAAGCCUUGUGCGGCUGAGGAUGGGCCCGCGGCCUAUCAGCUUGUUUGUGGGGUGAGGCCUACCAAGGCGACGACGGGUAGCCGGCCUGAGAGGGCGACCGGCCACACUGGGACUGAGACACGGCCCAGACUCCUACGGGAGGCAGCAGUGGGGAAUCUUGCGCAAUGGGCGAAAGCCUGACGCAGCGACGCCGCGUGAGGGAUGAC